CUGGGCUCAGUUUCUCGACAACAGCAAGAAAUAAGAUGCAUUGAAGAACAUGUCUCCUUGUUUCUUGCAAAGUAAAAAUGAUGCAACAGAAAGUCUGUGUUCGAAGGUCGAAAAGACGACGACGACACAUAGUUUAGGACUGUCCGCACUGGCUGAUUAUGCCGAUAAAGUACAGAUGAAAGCCGCCUCUGACCUCAAUCAAAUCAAUUGUAAAAUAUCAUCGGAGACGAAGGGCGUUCAAGAAUAUAUAGUCUAGUUAGUGUCGGAGGCCAAGGAGAUCAUCAGAGACAUUCAUCACGCUCUUACUGAACAGAAAGACGUACUGG
Long non-coding RNA from Rhodamnia argentea, 326 nucleotides. RefSeq lists it as uncharacterized. The transcript has 3 exons. The record is from RefSeq and is a predicted model, not a curated record. Lineage: Eukaryota; Viridiplantae; Streptophyta; Magnoliopsida; Myrtales; Myrtaceae.